RNAcentral lists this ribosomal RNA (253 nucleotides) under uncultured bacterium. Its description in RNAcentral is "partial 16S ribosomal RNA". It matches the Rfam family "Bacterial small subunit ribosomal RNA", at positions 524 to 776 of the family's 1533-position model. The record is from RNAcentral.
UACGCAGGGGGCUAGCGUUGUUCGGAAUUACUGGGCGUAAAGGGCUCGUAGGCGGCCAACUAAGUCAGACGUGAAAUCCCCAGGCUCAACCUGGGAACUGCGUCUGAUACUGGAUGGCUUGAAUUCGGGAGAGGGAUGCAGAAUUCCAGGUGUAGCGGUGAAAUGCGUAGAUAUCUGGAGGAAUACCGGUGGCGAAGGCGGCAUCCUGGACCGACAUUGACGCUGAGGAGCGAAAGCUAGGGGAGCAAACGGG